CUUAAAUAACAAACUAACAAAGUUUCAUGACACAAACAAAAAUCCAUUAUUGUACAUAACUUAAAAAUCCCAUAUAAGCAUAACAAACCGAGUUUGGCUGCAAUGUCUAACUAAAACUCCAAAUCUCCUCCAGUAAGGGCACGGGUUUCUGGCAGAAAUUUUCAAAAGAGGUCACCUUCUUUGUGCGUAUGAAUAACACAGUCUGAAGUUGGAUAGGCUACACAGGUUAGAACAUAACCUUCAUUUAAUUGAUUGUCAUCGAGAAAUGACCCAUCUGACUGAUCGACAGAACCAGAAACAACCUUCCCAGCACAGGUAGAGCAUGCUCCAGCACGGCAUGAAUAUGGAAGUUCAACUCCUGCAUUCUCUGCUGCAUCUAAGAUGUAAGUAUCAUCAGUUGCCUCAAAUUCAUUUUCUUUUCCAUCCGGACCAAUCAGCUUAACUUUGUAAGCAGCCACCGCAGUAACCCUAGAUGAAGCAGAUGACUUCAGGCCAAAAGAUCGUGAAACAUUCUUCGCGGAUCCUAGAGAAGAAGGGCACUUGACUGUUGCGGCAGUAGUGAAUUGAUUUUGGUUGGUAGCUUUAAGCGUGCAAUAGCGGUAAACCUUCACAGUUGACAAGGCUGACAUGAUUACCCUGAAAUUGAAUUGAUAUUACAAAUGGCGUCUUAUACAAAACACAUCAGGGGUUAAAAUAUAUCAGAUUCAAUGAAUAAAUACAGAAAACAACAGUAGAAAGCAAGCUGGAUUCAGAUUAUGUUCCAUAAAUUUGACAUUGCUAGACAGAAAUAGAGCAAUAACUCGAUUGCUACAGCACGUAGGAUAAAGAUACAUUAUGUGUCAAUCAUUGUUUAAAUUCAAAAGUAAUAAAUUAAUUAUGAACUAUCAAUUAACAGUUGAUCAUUUUAGUCUCAUUGUAUUAGGGUAAAAAAAACAACAAAAUCAUUAAUAUUGUUGUUAACUGUUAUGAAUGUUGAAAAGAAACAAGGUUAGUAUCUCAAAGAUUUCUAAUACUGUUUUUAACAUUCAUAAUACCUCAUGCAAUUC
RNAcentral lists this long non-coding RNA (1046 nucleotides) under Medicago truncatula (barrel medic). RNAcentral's name for it is "lncRNA gene11674". The record is from RNAcentral. Lineage: Eukaryota; Viridiplantae; Streptophyta; Magnoliopsida; Fabales; Fabaceae.